UACGGGGGGAGCAAGCGUUGUUCGGAUUUACUGGGCGUAAGGGCGCGUAGGCGGUCAGCACAAGUCAGUUGUGAAAUCUCCGAGCUUAACUCGGAAAGGUCAACUGAUACUGUGCGACUAGAGUGCGGAAGGGGCAACUGGAAUUCUUGGUGUAGCGGUGAAAUGCGUAGAUAUCAAGAGGAACACCUGCGGCGAAGGCGGGUUGCUGGGCCGACACUGACGCUGAGGCGCGAAAGCUAGGGGAGCGAACGGG
RNAcentral lists this ribosomal RNA (253 nucleotides) under uncultured bacterium. RNAcentral's name for it is "partial 16S ribosomal RNA". It matches the Rfam family "Bacterial small subunit ribosomal RNA", at positions 524 to 776 of the family's 1533-position model. The record is from RNAcentral.